GUUAAACUGAAAAAUUUAUCAAUACCUUUAAAUAUUAAUUAUAAAAACAAGCUCCAGGAGAAACAUGCAACUCAAUAGCAUUUGGUUUAACUAUCUAUAUAUAUUUUAACCUGAAGACACAUAGGUUGCCUUGGAAUGUUUUUUUUAUUAUGAAUGGUAAUAAUUGCUUUACAUUUUCCCAUUUACAGAAAAUGUACCUGAUGUGACCC
This 209-nucleotide long non-coding RNA is filed under the name Mytilus galloprovincialis (Mediterranean mussel). Lineage: Eukaryota; Metazoa; Mollusca; Bivalvia; Mytilida; Mytilidae. The record is from RNAcentral.